Molecule: long non-coding RNA, 5632 nt
Filed under: Gallus gallus (chicken)
Lineage: Eukaryota; Metazoa; Chordata; Aves; Galliformes; Phasianidae
Description: lncRNA (ENSGALG00010027844.1)
Source: RNAcentral
AGCGCAGCCAACAUUCGGAUUUGACACCAGGCCCUCGGCCAAUCCGAGAGGGCUUUUCACCUGCCAUCGCUUCCUCCGCCAAUCAGACGGCGUGUUUGGGCCGAGAGCCCUCCCCGGCCAAUCGGGAGCCGGCUGAGCCACUUAGUUAAUGAUGCAGCAGUACAGGGAAGACUAUCACAUGUGAGCUGGAAGGCUGCCAACAUGGAGACACGGAGAGAGCAAGGUAAACAACUUUCCAACGCCAAAAUGAUGACAUUUAAUCCCUAAAUGCUAGCUUCCCGUCUCGACUCAUCCUUAACCCCUUUCAGCUGGUGUGGAAGCGUCUGGAAGGCACCGUGUACCUGUCCCCAGUGCUUUUAAAAACUGGCCGACGUGCCCUGCAAUGAUCACUGCGUCACCGUUUGCCACUUUCCGAACUACGCAGUGGCAAAGCCCCGAGCCCAGCUCACAGGGUGGCUGUUAACCCCUGCACCCAGCCCUGCCUCCACGCCAGCCCUCGGGGGGACGGCAGGGAAUAAAAAGCCCGAGCAAAACACGAAAACAGCAGUCUGCAAAGUUGUCAUCUCUCCCCCACGACUACUGCCCUCCUCUGCAUUACAGCAAUGCCGGCAAGAGUGGCAUUCGUACAACCUGUACCGAUGUUCCAUUGAGAAAACAGCUCUGACGCAGAGCAGAGCAAUCAUACCCAGCCGAAAUAAUAAUGAAGGCACUUGGGGAGCUGAACUUAGGGACGAUGGGGGAAGGGGACGCCCUGCAAAGCAUUACAAAACGUAGAUGCAGCUCCAGCCCCAUCCUGAUCAAAGGGUACGUACGUGGGAAAGACGAACCGGACCGAGGAGCUCUGCCCGUGCACCAGCUGCGCAGCGUUCAGCCCUCUGCUUGCUGUGUAGCGCCGCAGAAUAGAAGGUUCCAGAAUUUUCCUUUCCGUUAACCCUUUCGGUGUCUGCCCACUCUCCCUCCCCGCGGGAUUAAGCGCGCCGGGUCUCCAGCAUCGUCAACGGGCGAAGCCUCCUACGCCAACCGAGCCCAGAUAUGUUCUCUAAAUGACACUGUCUGGUGUCAGGAGCUCCGUCCCUGGUGUUGCGUCUGAAGAGCCUGAGCUAUUUUGGGAUUUGUCUGUACUACACUGAAAAUGACACCUGUUACACACAGGCAUAAAUGAGAAGAAUUGCAAGCUCCUGGUUUCUCAGAUACAGUUCUGCCACGGAAAAAAGAUAGGAGCUGGGGGUGUGGGAGGGCAGCCCUGGCUCUCAGCGUGGGGUGAGGAACUGACCCUUGUGUAGUCAGACAGCAGUACAGGGAGUGCAUGAGGCUUGUUGCAUCUGAUGCAGACCUCCCUGUGACCAAGAGCAGUAGUGCUUGAUCAUCGAAACGCUGCAAGAUGGGGUUUCAUACAUGACCAAACCCAUGGGACUUCAAGCCUUACAGAUCUGCUUUGUGGCCAAAGCUGCAAGCGUUAACUGUUUCAGUUAAUUGUAAGAGUGCUUCAGCUACUUAAAUGAGUCACUCAGCAGUGAUGCUCUGAAGUAGGCCAGCGUUUUGUGCAAGGUUACGCAGUUGGUUUCCGUUACCCCUGAGUUAUCUCAGAAGCUCAACCACCACACAGAGGCAGAGCGGAUUUCCGUGUUCCCCAUUGCUGUGUCUGCCUGCAGCCGAUCUGCAGUGCCCCAGGGAGGUGUCAGCAGCGUGCAGACCACCCCGCAGCCCCCAGGCACUGAGCAUGGCAGUGGGAUGGACAGAGCCUGAGAAGUGGGAUGGCUGAUGGGCAUGCUUGGCUCCCAGCAACGCUGGUAUAUUAAGAAAGUAAAACAGAGGUUUGGCUUAGUUCAAAUGGUAUGCUUUUGGUUGCUUUCAAGGGAAGAGCAGUGUUUAUUUAAUGGGUUGCUUUUGUUUGAAAAUGACCAGCCGUGGGACAUUUCUGUCUUUACCUGAUCAUAAAGCAUUUACUCUGUGGAGGCACUUCAGCUCCCAAGGAGGAUCAAAGCCACUGUGCCCUGUGAAGCGCUCAGGUUUAUUGCUAUCCGGAUGAUUUUCAUUAGUGCAUGUCAGAGGAAUGGCUUCUGGAGUGUUUGCAGUGAUUCCUGGCUGUGAUGAGCUCAACCACCAUCGCUGUGACACACGUCUUUGCCAGCCCAGCGUGUGCUCACUGCGGUCCCAUCCAACCACAGAGCAGGUUUCCUGUUUCACAUGGGGACACCAAGGCUGUGAAUGGACGGAGGGUCGCUGUGCUCAGCCCCCAGCCCUGGAAGGCAUCUGAGAGCCCAGCUGACCAGCAGACCUCACCGAGGUGAGACCUCCCCCUUCCUGCCCGUGCUCUGCAGGAAUAACCCUGCGCUGUCACUGUCCGGGCUGUUGUUGCAUUCCUGCUGGCUUUGCUGCAUGCAAGUCUUGUCUGAGUUUUGUACCUUCCUGUUGUCCUUGAAAUUGGGAUUGUAAAUUAUUUUGGCCAGCAGUACACUGGUUUUGCUUGUCCAGCACUGAGCUGCUCUGGCCUCUUAGUUAAGGAUUCUCGCCACUUCUAAAAAUAAGUAAUUAUGAGAUAUUAUCUCCUUAAAAUACUUGUUAAAAAGCGGAGGCAAGAAGACGCUCCUUUCCCAUCCAUUUUCUCCUCAAACUACCAAUUUAUUUUUUUUAAUUUGCUUUAAAUGGUGCUCUUUCGAUCUGUUCUCUUCUGCAGCCAUUCAUACAGCAGGAGAGCACAACAGCCUCGAGGUUAGGAUGCGUACUUUCCACUCACACAACCAGAAUCAUUGGAAGGCCACAAGGAAGUUCUAAAAUCCAAGCUACCAUUAAGAAAACAGAAAUUAAGCUCAAAAAUAUUUUUAUGGAAGAGCCCUGGUUACUUUUCCCAGCUGGGAACUAUUUUGCAAACAAACCAUGAUUAGAAGUGGAACUUUUCUAUAUUGUUUUACUCCAAGGAUAACACAGAUAUUUUCAUUUUUCAAUAUGUUUUUGGUUUCCUUAUUUGACCAAUUCUCAUUGGUCGUCUUAACCCAACAGUAGAUUGAUUUCCCUUUCCAGAAUGGGAGACAUUUGUUUUCAACGAUUCCUUCGGAUAAUCCGCAAAGUAGAAAACAAAACAUUAAACAUUACAAAACAAACCAGAUGAAAAUACUUUCAGCUUUGCUCAUGUUCCUGCCAACUAUUUUUCUUUAAAAAAACAAAACAACACCAACCAGCCCCUUCUCAGCCCGUGCACCAACAACUGUAUCGUUUUACUCCUUUAAAGGGGAAGGCAUGGCUGAGGAUGAGCUCUGCAGUGGCCAAGCUCUGAGUUUAAGCCUCCAAUCCAGCAUCUAGUGCUAUUCCUGCCCAAAGGACAAGGCAGUAAGGGUAUAUUCUAGCAAAGGUAUGAAUUUUUAAGGCUUCCUUGAACGAGUAUUUUGAAUAGCAAACCAAAGAUCAGCCAUAUUAUUAAGGGAUUCAUAGAAUUCACCCAAUUUAUUUGCCCAAACCACUCCUUUUUUUCCCCCUUAUUGUCAUUUUGGGCUUCUUACAGCCAGCCCAGGAAAAGGAGGCAUUUAACACAUCAAAAAGCUGAGAGUGGUAUUUCCAGCAGGCCUCUGCCUCCUCAUUUAUACCUGUGAGCGUGCAGUUCUGUACAGUUCUCUCUUUGGAAGGCAGCACUGCCUCAGUGCACUGUAAUGUGCUGAAAACAGCCUGGCAGAACCUCUCCUUCUGAGGCCUUUGUGCUGCCAUCCACUGCUGCGUUCUCUGAGCAGGUUGCUGUAAAAGAUAAAUAGCAGAGUCCCAAAGUGAUUUAAUGGAGUUUCCAUAACCUUCUGUCAGUAGAAGCACUGCUUGGCAGAGGAACUUAGAGUUUUCUUUCAACUUUAACUCACUCCAGGCUUCUCUUACCCCUUCAUUUGACAGGUUUUUUCCCAGACUGGAAGGUUUCCACCAAGUCAUGAAGAUGGUUGUGUUUGGGAUGGUCCGGUGGAUCCUGUGCCUCGUGUCAGCUCUGUCGUUUGGGGAAGCCCCUACAGGUGAAUCUGUGGCAAGGUAGAAGGUCCAUGGUUCUCAUAAGGAAGUGAAGGAGUUGCAAAAUGGGAGCUUCUGCAGAAAAGUGUCUUCUGGCACUAGCUGUGCCCCAUUCCUACCAUCAAUAAGCCUUGGGUGAAAAGAGGGAGGUGCUCCAGGGGGACUUGGGAAAGCAGACUGGAUGUGACAGUGAAAAAUAAGGCUAUUGGAGGCACACAGCCAUGAGCCAGGAAUGGCUGAGCCCUGAGUCCCACAGGGACUCCCUCCAUAGGUCCGCCUAGAGGAGCACCAGGCUCCCACGGGUUCACUUUCAGCUGCUGAGAGCCAUUCUAUCCUUAGCACUGCCCUCCCCAGAGCUGCCACGAAUGUGUUCUGCACUGUGAGUCCAGAGAUCCACAGCUGCAGCUCUGGAGUGGGAGCUUUCCUUGGCAGCUCUGGGUGAGACGUGGGCGAGGGCACCAGCGGAAGGAGCCCCGUUACGCCCUGACCCGUGUGAGCACACGUCUGUUUCUGCGCAGCCUCCCUCGCAGACCAGCCGAAAUCUGGGUUAUAUAAUGCCACUGCUGCCUCGAAACAGGGAGGUUAAAAUGAGGUCGUCCAAGAUGGGAGCUGCCUGCAGCCUGCAGCCGCCUCGGGAGGACGAUCCGCUGCCUGCGCCGAGCCCUGCACGCAGGGGAGCACUGCAACAUAAACAUACAGAACCAUAGGUCAGGAUGCUGGAAGUCUCCAGAGCGCUCACGGUGUGGAAUCAGGCCCAUUUCUUUAUUUGCAUCUCCCUGUUUACGUGACGAACUGUGCUGAGCAGGCAGCGUGACGGGCUGCGGUCACAGGGCACUGCAGAGCUGCGGGGUGCCAGAUCCACACAGCACAGAGCUCUGUGCCACAGUCAACCCCAGGUUUUACCCUUUUUAAGCAUGUUUUAAGGGUGCAAGGUCUACAUUAUUCCUUCCAUCAUUGCUUUAUUUGCAGUAUGCUGUGGAAAGGCCAUCGCUCCAAGGGGAUCCACGUAAGAAAGUAUACAACUGUAAUAGAAAAAGCAAGAAUUCUGUUGCAUUAAAGCAGAUAUUCUUUUUCCAGAAUACUAAUGCAAUUCCUCCAGAACAAAGAGUGGAAGCUUCCUCCUGUAAGUGCAUUUCACAGAGACCACAAGGUGGGAAACAUGGGGCUGUUUGAGGGGAGCUGCUUGGGAUGAGCACAUCAAUGAGUUCAGCACUGGGCAUUGGGUGAUUCCAUGACUGGAGGGCCACUAAAACCAACAUGCUGCUGCAAACAAAGAGACAAAAGUCACAUUACCAGGAGCACAUGAGUUUGAGGAAGACCUACUCCCUCCUAACAGCAUGUGAAAACACCUGAUUUCCCAUUGUCAUGGUAAGCCUUUCCUUCAAAGCACUCCUAAUUUGUUUCCUGAUCCUCCAGCUUCUUGGCUGGUGCCAGAACAGAGCAGUGAGUGCUGGAGAGUUGUUGGCAGGACAGCAGCUGGGGAACAGUCUUUGUCUUUGACAGCAAGCGAUGGACAGUGCUUCUGUCCCACUGGGGGGAAUUUCUGCAUCACCAUCACUAAACUGGAUACAUGUGGGAUGAUUGCUGACCACAGAAAGAAGCCGAAGACGAACCACCUACCUGCUGAAGGCAGAGGAUCAGCGCUGUACCA